RNAcentral lists this ribosomal RNA (322 nucleotides) under uncultured eukaryote. RNAcentral describes it as "partial 18S ribosomal RNA". It matches the Rfam family "Eukaryotic small subunit ribosomal RNA", at positions 1470 to 1796 of the family's 1831-position model. The record is from RNAcentral.
CCCUUAGAUGUCCUGGGCCGCACGCGCGUUACACUGAUGCAUUCAACGAGCAUAUAACCUUGGCCGAGAGGCCUGGGUAAUCUUGUUAACAUGCAUCGUGAUAGGGAUAGAUUAUUGCAAUUAUUAAUCUUGAACGAGGAAUUCCUAGUAAUCGCAGUUCAUCAAACUGCAAUGAUUACGUCCCUGCCCUUUGUACACACCGCCCGUCGCACCUACCGAUUGAAUGGUCCGGUGAAAUCUCGGGACGGCGGCUUGGUCGCUUGCGUCCGACUGCUGAAACUUGAUUAAACCAUAUCAUUUAGAGGAAGGUGAAGUCGUAACA